This is a non-coding RNA of Jatropha curcas, 837 nucleotides long. Lineage: Eukaryota; Viridiplantae; Streptophyta; Magnoliopsida; Malpighiales; Euphorbiaceae. The record is from RefSeq and is a predicted model, not a curated record.
AGUUUAGAUUAUAUAUCCCUUGGGUGGAAGUGCUGCCAAGGAUGAGAUAUUGGACAAGUGAAUGUCAUCUUUCAUUCAAGCUGGAGAGGGAAGAUAUUUUGGGUUUCUGUUUUUGUGCUGUUAUUGAUCCCCAACUUCUUAAUUCUCAUAGAAGUUUGAUAACAUGUCUUGCGAAGUUGGAAUAUAAAUCUGGGAUGAUCUAUGACUUUCAUUUUCCAGAGAUCAAGCUAAUGAGUAAGAAGUUAGAUUCAAAACAUGUGUUCCUUUUGUACGAAACUCUCAACUGUGAGCAUUUCACUCAGGCUUCAUUCCAGUUUGCCAUUGAAGACUAUGAUUACAACACAAAGAAAUAUGUUAAAGUUUUAAGCAAGGGGAUGAUUCAGUGUGGUGUUCAUCCUAUAUCUUGGAAACAAUAUAGGACACAGUUGAUUCCGAAACUAGAAAUGAUUAAAACCAAGAAGGAUGGUAUCGGGAUUCGGGAAUAACCAGAGAAGGAUGAUUGUGGAACACUGAAUUUUGGAAGAAGAAAUCAAGGCCAAAAUUAUAAUUAGUAAGCCAAAAUGGAUGUGGCUAUGAAACUGAAAAUGACAUUAGUUGUUCAUUAGCAAUGGAUCCUAAUGGCUCGUUGCAGAUGGUGGAAGAUCUUUAAUCAUGCUGUGUUGGUGCCUAAACGCUUGUAAUUAUUUACUCUCAUCCUUGUGUCUUGAUUUUGCUGGUUUGAACUUUUUGUGCGUAAUUCAUAUUAGACCCUCGAGGUGUUUGCUUCCUUUUGAAGUAGACUCUGAAAAUUGGUUAAAUUAUACCAGGAAAAUCAAAUUCAAUUGUGACAGGAAAAAA